RNAcentral lists this ribosomal RNA (462 nucleotides) under uncultured bacterium. RNAcentral's name for it is "partial 16S ribosomal RNA". It matches the Rfam family "Bacterial small subunit ribosomal RNA", at positions 28 to 507 of the family's 1533-position model. The record is from RNAcentral.
GGCGAACGCUGGCGGCGUGCUUAACACAUGCAAGUCGAACGGAAAGGCCCUUCGGGGUACUCGAGUGGCGAACGGGUGAGUAACACGUGGGUGAUCUGCCCUGCACUUUGGGAUAAGCCUGGGAAACUGGGUCUAAUACCGAAUAGGACCGCGCGCUUCAUGGUGUGUGGUGGAAAGCUUUUGCGGUGUGGGAUGGGCCCGCGGCCUAUCAGCUUGUUGGUGGGGGAAUGGCCUACCAAGGCGACGACGGGUAGCCGGCCUGAGAGGGUGACCGGCCACACUGGGACUGAGAUACGGCCCAGACUCCUACGGGAGGCAGCAGUGGGGAAUAUUGCACAAUGGGCGCAAGCCUGAUGCAGCGACGCCGCGUGAGGGAUGACGGCCUUCGGGUUGUAAACCUCUUUCACCAGGGACGAAGCGCAAGUGACGGUACCUGGAGAAGAAGCACCGGCCAACUACGUG